This 253-nucleotide ribosomal RNA is filed under the name uncultured bacterium. RNAcentral describes it as "partial 16S ribosomal RNA". It matches the Rfam family "Bacterial small subunit ribosomal RNA", at positions 524 to 776 of the family's 1533-position model. The record is from RNAcentral.
UACGUAGGGGGCAAGCGUUGUCCGGAAUCAUUGGGCGUAAAGAGCGCGUAGGCGGCCCUGUAAGUCCGCUGUGAAAGUCGGGGGCUCAACCCUCGGAUGCCGGUGGAUACUGUCGGGCUUGAGUACGGAAGAGGCGAGUGGAAUUCCUGGUGUAGCGGUGAAAUGCGCAGAUAUCAGGAGGAACACCAAUUGCGAAGGCAGCUCGCUGGGACGUUACUGACGCUGAGGUGCGAAAGCGUGGGGAGCAAACAGG